GGGCUAUUGGACGAAACGCUCACGCGGCCGCCGCAAGUCGCACGCAUGCGGACAGCGCGAUCGAUCUCCAGCAGCAGCAGGGCCUCUAACGCCCGCGCCGCCGUCCGCCGUGGCUCCGCCCCAGGCCCACCCACUUUCCCCCUACUCCCAGGCUGUAGGCCACCGCCCUCCUGUUCGUCGUUCGCCCGUGUGACCCUGCUUCACUGCCGGCUGCCGUAACUUAACAAGAAGAUGAAGAGAUUUUUCCUGUUGCAACCGCAUCAGUGGAAAGAGUUUAUGAGUAUAAUCAAGACUUGCCAAUUUCAUUUUAUAUUGUAGAACAAGAAGAUGAAGAGAUUUUUCCUGUUGCAACCGCAUCAGUGGAAAGAGUUUAUGAGUAUAAUCAAGACUGAGUUAAGGAAUAGAAUGAACGAGUGAUGCUUGGCUGAAUUAAAGAAUGGUUUGCUAUGUUGAGCGAGAUGUAUUUUGCAAGUACUGAAGAUGAUGAUAUUGUGUAUCACUUUCAAUCAUAUAGGUUUCUUUAACUCUUCGAAGUGGUGUUGAGUCUUCUCCCACCGUUCAUGAUGUUAUGCGAGGCACUGAUGAAGCAAAGCAAACUAUUGAUUUGGUACUCUUUUUUUAUCACGUAUUGUUCUUUAUAGUUUUUGUCAUUUUUAAUUUAUUUUGUUGUAUUGUUAAGCAUUGAGUUUAAAUUCUAAAGUUUUCAUGCAAUUGAGCCAUAUUUUGUA
Long non-coding RNA from Triticum aestivum (bread wheat), 728 nucleotides. RefSeq lists it as uncharacterized. NCBI's taxonomy places the organism in Eukaryota, Viridiplantae, Streptophyta, Magnoliopsida, Poales, Poaceae. The transcript has 3 exons. The record is from RefSeq and is a predicted model, not a curated record.